GGAGACCUCGGAUCAGGUAGGAAUACCCG
Molecule: ribosomal RNA, 29 nt
Filed under: Colletotrichum acutatum
Lineage: Eukaryota; Fungi; Ascomycota; Sordariomycetes; Glomerellales; Glomerellaceae
Description: partial 28S ribosomal RNA
Source: RNAcentral